CCUACGGGAGGCUGCAGUAGGGAAUCUUCCACAAUGGGCGAAAGCCUGCUGGAGCAACGCCGCGUGGGUGAAGAAGGUCUUCGGAUCGUAAAACCCUGUUGUUAGAGAAGAAAGUGCGUGAGAGUAACUAUUCACGUGUCGACGGUAUCGAACCAGAAAGCCACGGCUAACUACGUGCCAGCAGCCGCGGUAAUACGUAGGUGGCAAGCGUUAGCCGGAUUUAGUGGGCGUAAAGGGAACGCAGGCGGUCUUUUAAGUCUGAUGUGAAAGCCUUCGGCUUAACCGGAGUCGUGCAUUGGAAACUGGGAGCCUUGAGUGCAGCUGUGGAGAGUGGAACUCCAUGUGUAGCGGUGAAAUGCUUAGAUAUCUGG
Molecule: ribosomal RNA, 371 nt
Filed under: uncultured bacterium
Lineage: Bacteria
Description: partial 16S ribosomal RNA
Rfam family: Bacterial small subunit ribosomal RNA
Source: RNAcentral